AUUUGUAUUCAGACCAAACUCGAUCCCUUUACGAUCCUUUUUCGAUCAAAUCGAUCGCUACUCGGCGAAACUCCGAUCUCUUCUCGAGUGACUGGCUUCUCGAUGCUUACUCGAAUGUUUUUGAAACGUCAAAAACUCUCUGAAAGAAAGUCAGAUCGAUGACGAGUAAGGUAGACCACCCCGAACAUUCUUGUCGAACUAGCCAGACCAGUCUCCCGAUCACUUAAUCUGUCUUGAUCGGAAUUGAUAUAGUUGGUCUGAUCGGCAGUGUCAACC
Molecule: long non-coding RNA, 276 nt
Filed under: Mytilus galloprovincialis (Mediterranean mussel)
Lineage: Eukaryota; Metazoa; Mollusca; Bivalvia; Mytilida; Mytilidae
Source: RNAcentral